UGGGGAAUAUUGGACAAUGGGCGCAAGCCUGAUCCAGCCAUGCCGCGUGUGUGAAGAAGGCCUUCGGGUUGUAAAGCACUUUUGUUGGGGAAGAAAAGCAUCCGGUUAAUACCCGGGUGUCAUGACGGUACCCAAAGAAUAAGCACCGGCUAACUUCGUGCCAGUCAGCCGCGGUAAUACGAAGGGUGCAAGCGUUACUCGGAAUUACUGGGCGUAAAGCGUGCGUAGGUGGUCUGUUAAGUCUGAUGUGAAAGCCCCGGGCUCAACCUGGGAAUGGCAUUGGAUACUGGCAGUCUAGAGUGCGGUAGAGGGGUGUGGAAUUCCCGGUGUAGCAGUGAAAUGCGUAGAUAUCGGGAGGAACAUCCGUGGCGAAGGCGACACCCUGGACCAGCACUGACACUGAAGGCACGAAAGCGUGGGGAGCAAACAGGAUUAGAUACCCUGGUAGUCCACGCCCUAAACGAUGCGAACUGGAUGUU
This 479-nucleotide ribosomal RNA is filed under the name uncultured Pseudomonadota bacterium. RNAcentral describes it as "bacterial SSU rRNA". It matches the Rfam family "Bacterial small subunit ribosomal RNA", at positions 355 to 824 of the family's 1533-position model. The record is from RNAcentral. Lineage: Bacteria; Pseudomonadati; Pseudomonadota.